RNAcentral lists this ribosomal RNA (598 nucleotides) under Escherichia coli. Its description in RNAcentral is "partial 23S ribosomal RNA". It matches the Rfam family "Bacterial large subunit ribosomal RNA", at positions 1292 to 1875 of the family's 2925-position model. The record is from RNAcentral. Lineage: Bacteria; Pseudomonadati; Pseudomonadota; Gammaproteobacteria; Enterobacterales; Enterobacteriaceae.
GAAUGCUGACAUAAGUAACGAUAAAGCGGGUGAAAAGCCCGCUCGCCGGAAGACCAAGGGUUCCUGUCCAACGUUAAUCGGGGCAGGGUGAGUCGACCCCUAAGGCGAGGCCGAAAGGCGUAGUCGAUGGGAAACAGGUUAAUAUUCCUGUACUUGGUGUUACUGCGAAGGGGGGACGGAGAAGGCUAUGUUGGCCGGGCGACGGUUGUCCCGGUUUAAGCGUGUAGGCUGGUUUUCCAGGCAAAUCCGGAAAACCAAGGCUGAGGCGUGAUGACGAGGCACUACGGUGCUGAAGCGACAAAUGCCCUGCUUCCAGGAAAAGCCUCUAAGCAUCAGGUAACAUCAAAUCGUACCCCAAACCGACACAGGUGGUCAGGUAGAGAAUACCAAGGCGCUUGAGAGAACUCGGGUGAAGGAACUAGGCAAAAUGGUGCCGUAACUUCGGGAGAAGGCACGCUGAUAUGUAGGUGAAGCGACUUGCUCGUGGAGCUGAAAUCAGUCGAAGAUACCAGCUGGCUGCAACUGUUUAUUAAAAACACAGCACUGUGCAAACACGAAAGUGGACGUAUACGGUGUGACGCCUGCCCGGUGCCGGAAG